RNAcentral lists this transfer RNA (74 nucleotides) under Gemmatimonadota bacterium. Its description in RNAcentral is "Gemmatimonadetes bacterium tRNA-Pro". It matches the Rfam family "tRNA". From Rfam's summary of the family: Transfer RNA (tRNA) molecules are approximately 80 nucleotides in length. Their secondary structure includes four short double-helical elements and three loops (D, anti-codon, and T loops). RNAcentral also lists the same sequence under 3 other names. The record is from RNAcentral. Lineage: Bacteria; Pseudomonadati; Gemmatimonadota.
CGGGACGUGGCGCAGCUCGGUAGCGCACCUGAAUGGGGUUCAGGGGGUCGCCGGUUCGAAUCCGGCCGUCCCGA